ACUAAAUUCUCAACGGUGGAUGUCUUGGUUCCCACAACGAUGAAGAACGCAGCGAAGUGCGAUAAGCAGUGCGAAUUGCAGAACCGUGAGUCAUCAGAUUUUUGAACGCAACUUGCGCCUUAAGAGUUCGCUCUUAGGCACGCCUGGUCCAGUGUCU
Molecule: ribosomal RNA, 157 nt
Filed under: Omegastrombidium cf. elegans
Lineage: Eukaryota; Ciliophora; Spirotrichea; Strombidiidae
Description: 5.8S ribosomal RNA
Rfam family: 5.8S ribosomal RNA
About the family: 5.8S ribosomal RNA (5.8S rRNA) is a component of the large subunit of the eukaryotic ribosome.
Source: RNAcentral